This 449-nucleotide ribosomal RNA is filed under the name uncultured bacterium. Its description in RNAcentral is "bacterial SSU rRNA". It matches the Rfam family "Bacterial small subunit ribosomal RNA", at positions 328 to 793 of the family's 1533-position model. The record is from RNAcentral.
CGCUAUCACUCCUACGGGAGGCAGCAGUGGGGAAUCUUGGACAAUGGGGGCAACCCCUGAUCCAGCCAUGCCGCGUGAGUGAUGAAGGCCUUAGGGUCGUAAAGCUCUUUCGCCUGUGAUGAUAAUGACAGUAGCAGGUAAAGAAACCCCGGCUAACUCCGUGCCAGCAGCCGCGGUAAUACGGAGGGGGUUAGCGUUGUUCAGAAUUACUGGGCGUAAAGCGCGCGUAGGCGGAUUAGUCAGUUAGAGGUGAAAUCCCAGGGCUCAACCCUGGAACUGCCUUUAAUACUGCUAGUCUUGAGUUCGAGAGAGGUGAGUGGAAUUCCGAGUGUAGAGGUGAAAUUCGUAGAUAUUCGGAGGAACACCAGUGGCGAAGGCGGCUCACUGGCUCGAUACUGACGCUGAGGUGCGAAAGUGUGGGGAGCAAACAGGAUUAGAUACCCUGGUAG